UGUUGGCUCUCAGUUCUCCUGGCCGCAUUUGUGGUGUCCCUCAGAGCUCCGCGUGACCCUGUUGCAGCCGAGGAGCCAGCAUGAUCUCCCUGGACAUCCUGCUACCAGGGCUGCCCACGGUUGAGCAGAGUGAGGCGUAAAUCCUCCAAAAUGCUCCAGCUGCAUCCCACCCACACCGCCUGGAACAAACAGAAGGGAAAUAUGUUGCGUGUAGUGUCCUGGAGUAUCGUUACUGCUCUGCGAUAACUCUCCUGUGGUGUUCAGCUCCCUUGGGUGAGGCCUCAGCACUCAGCAGUUCUUCCCCUCCUUGGUAUGCGUGCAAAGGGUGCUCUAAAGCUGCAGAACACAGGCAGAUUAAGAGGGAAUGCAUAUUGAUAUUCCACCUUUUUGGCCUUUUCCUGAUCCCAUCCUCGAAGGAUGUCUUAGCUGAGCUUUGUCGGCUGGGAAAAUGAGUCUCAGCCAGCUGAGGUGAGGGGGGCUCAUCUGAUCAGUGUUUGCCCAAGGGAGGGAGUGACCUGUAGUGGGGAAAGCUGUCUGCUCUUUUCUUUCAGGAUACAAUUUUCAGAGCUUGUUGGUGUAACCGAGUCUCUGAGGAGGUCUCAGCCAGAAGGUGAAUGACAGGACAACUUGCCUGAUGAGUGAGAAUGAAAGGAUGACAGUAGCGCCUUCCUUCUCUUUCCCCUCUUCCCAGUUGUUCUCUUUCACAGGAGCUGUGGCCAGUACAAGACUCUGCCCCAGAAUGCUCCAGGGUGGCACUGCAUCCCCAGUGGAUCUGCAAGCCAAAUCUGACUUAGGAUGCUCUGAAAACACGUACUGGGCCAGUGGAAGAGGAUGGCUUGCUCCAGUUCUACCUUGUGAUCACUCGUCCCAUUCUCUGACCACAUAUAGCCCCUCAGCUCCAGUCCAGUUCACAAAUCUAGCCAAAAGCACUUCAUCCUUUUACAAGGGAUGGCUCAGACCUGUGCUCUCCAGUGCCACCGUUUCUGUUUUAAUAAAUGUAAUGGUAAACAUUGAUCUACUACAGAAGAACACAGGUAAAUUAACAUUUUUUUUCUGCUUCUUCCACUCCCUGGACUUUAUACUCUCUUGAUUUAGUGCCAAAAAAGGAAUCUGAGACAACUGCUUUGACCCUGAUUAGAUUUAAACUGUGUGAAAUGAGCAGCUUUUCAUUUCACAGAAUCACAGAAUUGUACGGGUUGGGAGGGACGUGAAGAGAGCAUUGGGUCAAACCCCCCAGCCAAAGCAGGUUCCCUAGAACAGGUUGCCCAGGUAGGCAUCCAGGUG
RNAcentral lists this long non-coding RNA (1284 nucleotides) under Anas platyrhynchos platyrhynchos (common mallard). RNAcentral's name for it is "lncRNA (ENSAPLG00000024046.1)". The record is from RNAcentral. Lineage: Eukaryota; Metazoa; Chordata; Aves; Anseriformes; Anatidae.